UACAUGGGGUGCAAACGUUGUUCGGAAUUACUGGGCGUAAAGGGCGCGUAGGCGGUGUGUCAAGUCAGGCGUGAAAGCCCCGGGCUCAACCUGGGAACCGCGCUUGAGACUGGCACGCUAGAGUUCGGGAGAGGAUGGUGGAAUUCCCAGUGUAGAGGUGAAAUUCGUAGAUAUUGGGAAGAACACCGAUGGCGAAGGCAGCCAUCUGGACCGACACUGACGCUGAGGCGCGAAAGCGUGGGGAGCAAACAGG
RNAcentral lists this ribosomal RNA (253 nucleotides) under uncultured bacterium. RNAcentral's name for it is "partial 16S ribosomal RNA". It matches the Rfam family "Bacterial small subunit ribosomal RNA", at positions 524 to 776 of the family's 1533-position model. The record is from RNAcentral.